UUUCCGUAGGUGAACCUGCGGAAGGAUCAUUCAUAAUAAGUGUUUUAUGGCACUUUUUUAAAUCCAUAUUCACCUUGUGUGCAAUGUCAGGGUUGAUUUUUCUCUCGAGAGGAUCAGCCCCAAACAUCAACUAUAUCUCAACUCUUUGUCUGAAAAUAUUAUGAAUAAAACAAUUCAAAAUACAACUUUCAACAACGGAUCUCUUGGCUCUC
This 212-nucleotide unclassified non-coding RNA is filed under the name plant metagenome. RNAcentral describes it as "partial contains small subunit ribosomal RNA, internal transcribed spacer 1, and 5.8S ribosomal RNA". The record is from RNAcentral.